AAUUAAUGAGCUUGCUAAAGCUUUUGUUUUGAAAACUUAAGAAAGAAAAUUCUUUUUCUAUUAAUUU
RNAcentral lists this transfer RNA (67 nucleotides) under Hydropsyche columnata. RNAcentral describes it as "tRNA-Ser". The record is from RNAcentral. Lineage: Eukaryota; Metazoa; Arthropoda; Insecta; Trichoptera; Hydropsychidae.